Molecule: small nuclear RNA, 165 nt
Organism: Cryptotermes secundus
Lineage: Eukaryota; Metazoa; Arthropoda; Insecta; Blattodea; Kalotermitidae
Product: U1 spliceosomal RNA
Exons: 1
Source: RefSeq, a predicted model, not a curated record
AUACGUACCCGGCGUAGGGGUUACCGUGACCCAGAAGGCGGUUUCCCCAGGGUGAGGCCCUUCCGUUGCAUUACGGUUGUCUGACCCCUGCGAUUGCCCCAAAUGUGGAUAACUCGGGCGCGUAAUUUUGGGUAAGAGAGUUCAGUGUAUGAGCAGUGAUUCGUC